Long non-coding RNA from Solenopsis invicta (red fire ant), 1155 nucleotides. RefSeq lists it as uncharacterized. The transcript has 3 exons. Lineage: Eukaryota; Metazoa; Arthropoda; Insecta; Hymenoptera; Formicidae. The record is from RefSeq and is a predicted model, not a curated record.
UUGUUGGUAGCAAUAAUAAUACAAUAUAAUGUUUCUUUCAAGAUUUUCAGUGUUUUUCCUUGUUUUUAUGGAAUAUCCAUUUGUUGUCGAUUCGAUAUCAAUUCGAUACUCGCGAGAGUUGCAGUGAAAAGCGCCGCGCCGCGGUCUGCUCCUCUAACCUUUUUUUGUCUUUCGUCCCUGCCUUGGUACCGGCCGGCUAAAGUGGGCAAAAGUGUACAACGUGUAUUAUCGCUUUAUAUAGGUAAUCUUUCUUUUUUUAUUAUAAAUUAUAUAUUAUAACAAAAUAAAUCAAUUAAAUUAUUACUUUUUGAACAUAUUUUUAAUAUAUGAUUGUUCUGCAUCUCAUGCAGAAUGCUUCUGCAUCAAUAAUUGUUACUAUUGUGCACAUAUUUAAGGUUAUGUGUUUUCUAUUCCAAUGUGAAAUUAUUAUUUUGUUGCAAACUAUUAUUAUUGUUUCCUGUAAAAAAGAAAGUUUCAAAACGUAGUCGCAACUAUAAAAAGCUGGCUAAAGUAUACCACGUGUGUCUGCAUCGCUUUAUAUCACAGACUAUUAUUAUUGUUUCUUGUAAAAAAGAAAUUGAAAUUAAGUUGUAUGUUUCGAAACGUAGUCGCAACUAUAAGAAGCUGGCUAAAGUAUACCACGUGUAUCUGCAUAUAUUGCUUUAUAUCACAGACUAUUGUUUCCUGUAAAAAAGGAAUUGAAAUAAAAUUGUACGUUUCGAAAGAUAGCCACAGCUAUAAAAGAAGCUGACUAAAGUAUAUAAUGUGUGUGCCUGCAUAUAAGUGCACGAUGUCAGAGGACGAUAGGCUUGUAAGUAGUUUUUCCAAAAUUACCAUUAAUAAUUUUAUUAUCAUGAUUCUACUCAAAAGGUUUCUCUCAAGUGGUUUUUAAUGGCCGUUUUACAAUGAGUAUUUUAGUUGUAAUUCAACAGUAUGGCUAUUUGGGAGUCAUAAGUCGUUAAUCGUAACAAAUUUAUAUCUAAAAUGAAAUAAUAUAGUUUAUAAUUACAAAUAACACAGUUGUAUUUGCUAUAACACAAUUAUAACUUAAUUCUGUUUCUGAUAUCUGAUCAACGACUAACAACUCAUUGCAAAACGACUAUAUAUAAGAUUUAUACAUAUACUUUGAAAUUAGUAGAAGAGGAGAUAACAUAA